RNAcentral lists this ribosomal RNA (587 nucleotides) under uncultured bacterium. Its description in RNAcentral is "bacterial SSU rRNA". It matches the Rfam family "Bacterial small subunit ribosomal RNA", at positions 338 to 916 of the family's 1533-position model. The record is from RNAcentral.
CCUACGGGAGGCAGCAGUAGGGAAUCUUCCACAAUGGACGAAAGUCUGAUGGAGCAACGCCGCGUGAGUGAUGAAGGUUUUCGGAUCGUAAAACUCUGUUGUAAGGGAAGAACAAGUACGAGAGGGAAUGCUCGUACCUUGACGGUACCUUGCGAGAAAGCCACGGCUAACUACGUGCCAGCAGCCGCGGUAAUACGUAGGUGGCAAGCGUUGUCCGGAAUUAUUGGGCGUAAAGCGCGCGCAGGCGGCCUUUUAAGUCUGAUGUGAAAGCCCCCGGCUCAACCGGGGAGGGUCAUUGGAAACUGGAAGGCUUGAGUACAGAAGAGAAGAGUGGAAUUCCAUGUGUAGCGGUGAAAUGCGUAGAGAUGUGGAGGAACACCAGUGGCGAAGGCGACUCUUUGGUCUGUAACUGACGCUGAGGCGCGAAAGCGUGGGGAGCAAACAGGAUUAGAUACCCUGGUAGUCCACGCCGUAAACGAUGAGUGCUAGGUGUUGGGGGGUUUCCGCCCCUCAGUGCUGAAGCUAACGCAUUAAGCACUCCGCCUGGGGAGUACGGCCGCAAGGCUGAAACUCAAAUGAAUUGACGG